RNAcentral lists this ribosomal RNA (497 nucleotides) under uncultured bacterium. RNAcentral describes it as "partial 16S ribosomal RNA". It matches the Rfam family "Bacterial small subunit ribosomal RNA", at positions 28 to 507 of the family's 1533-position model. The record is from RNAcentral.
GAUGAACGCUGGCGGCGUGCCUAAUACAUGCAAGUCGAGCGAACGGACGAGAUGCUUGCUCUUCUGAUGUUAGCGGCGGACGGGUGAGUAACACGUGGAGAACCUGCCUAUGAGACGGGGAUAACUUCGGGAAACCAAAGCUAAUACCGGAUAAAAACUUUAACCGCAUGUUUCAUGAUUGAAAGACGGUCUUGCUGUCACUUAUGGAUAUAUCCCCUCUGCUUUAGCUAGUUGUUAAGGUAACGGCUUACCAAGGCAACGAUGCAUAGCCGACCUGAGAGGGGGACCGGCAACACUGGAACUGAGCACCGGUCAAGACUCUUCCGGGAGGAACAGGUAGGGAUCUUUGCGAAAUGGCCGAAGGCCGACCGGAGAAAGGCGGCGUGAGGGAGGAAGGUCUCCGGAUCGUAAACUUCUGUUAUAAGGGAAGACCAUAUGUGUAAGUAACUGCGCACCAAUUGACGGUACCUAACCAGAAAGCCACGGCUAACUACGUG